AGGAGGGGCAGGGGCCGGGCAGCUGAGCCUGGGAGGGGCCGGCAGCCUCAAGAGGAGAGAAGGGCCCUAUCCACUGCCCUUGCUUUUGUGGAGAAAGGCCAUUCCCAACCAAGUGCUCUCUCACAGCCCUGCAAGUCUCUAAAAAGGAAACUAGGGACAUUCUGGAAGAUACUCAAAGAAACCUUUUAUCUUUCUCUUUGCUCUUCACUCACUCUUUUGUCCUCUCUCCUCUUCACGGACAGGGGAGGGACCAUCUGAUGAGACCGAGAAAAACAAAGGCCAAGGUGGAAACUCUAUUCCAGCUUCCUGACCUGUGACUGAGUGGGGUUUGAGUGGGCCCAGAAUACGCCGGAACCAAGAAGAGCUAUCUUUUACUCUUCUUCACAUAUUGGAGAAGGAUGAAACAGUAUUUCAUCUUGGCCCUGGGGAGGUUUGAAGCCUAGACACAAAGCGGAACAGAGGGAAAGAAAGACACCAGCUCCCAUGCAGAAGUCCCCUCCCUUGGGCCAACCACAUGAAACUGAGAGAUGGGUCUAGAUAAGUAGGACCCGGCUGGGUCCUUUUUCUGCAGAGUCCCCAGGUGAACAAUCAAAUAGAGCUAAAAAUUUUUCUGCCUUGGGCCGAAAUGGAGAAAAUGAAACCUUGAGGAGCUUGCUUUUAACCAUGGCAGUAGCUACACCCCUGUUUCCUCUGCAAGAACCUAAGUUUAUGAGGCUCACUUUAGAAGUUCUGACUUUGGAGUCAGGUAGAUAGGACAUAAUCCCAGCUCACCCUCUAACUAGCAGGGUAACCUUGGGCAGAGCGCAUGGCCCAUCAGAGUUUUAGUUUUAUCAUCUAUAAAAUGGGUUAUUGGGGCCAGGCCAGUGGUGCAGCGGUUAAAAUUUGCACGUUCCGCUUCAGCGGCCAGGGGUUCACCAGUUUGGAUCCCUGGUGCGGACAUGGCACCUCUUGGCAAGCCAUGCUGUGGUAGGCGUCCCACAUAUAAAGUAGAAGAAAAUGGGCACGGAUGUUAGCUCAGGGCCAAUCUUCCUCAGCAAAAAGAGGAGGAUUGGCAGCAGUUAGUUCAGGGCUAAUCUUCCUCAAAAAUAAAUAAAUAAAUAUAAAUAAAUAAAUAAAAUGGGUUAUUGCAGGAAACAACCUAA
Molecule: long non-coding RNA, 1142 nt
Filed under: Equus asinus (donkey)
Lineage: Eukaryota; Metazoa; Chordata; Mammalia; Perissodactyla; Equidae
Description: lncRNA (ENSEASG00005028810.1)
Source: RNAcentral